This is a long non-coding RNA of Dermacentor albipictus, 734 nucleotides long. RefSeq lists it as uncharacterized. NCBI's taxonomy places the organism in Eukaryota, Metazoa, Arthropoda, Arachnida, Ixodida, Ixodidae. The record is from RefSeq and is a predicted model, not a curated record.
GACAACUGCCCAGCUACGCUGGGCGACGAAGGCGAGUAGAAGGGGCUGGAGGCCGAACAGGACGAGUGGAUCGUGGAGACGGCGGCCACCCAGUGGCAGCAGUUCUUCAGCUGCCGCGGCCACGACCCACGAGCUGAUUGGACCUCCCACCGGACGCCGCAGCUACAGGCUGAUGGUGCCGCUCCUCGGAUUUCCUGCGCCUACGAUCCGCUGCUUGCGGAGAUCCAGGUGCCUAGGUCAUGCCACCCCCUUCACCCACUGACCAGGCCAACCGUGGACCGAACGUCGUACACAGCAACGUCGAGUCUACGAUGCAUCGGCGGGCCCAACGACGUGUCGUCGGAAGCAGCGACGACGAGGGUUGCCUCGACCGGACGCAACACUUCUGUGCCGCCUAUGGCUCGGCGUGGCAUUCACGAACUCCUAUUCCUUCCGCAUUGGAAUGGCCGACAGCCCUGCUUGCGACACCUGCGGCUGCGAGGAGACGAUCAUGCACCUCCUCCUUGACUAACCACGUUGCAAUGUGCGAAGAAAAGUGCUCGUGACCCCGCUGGAAAAACUGGACAAUCGCCCCUUCACAGAAGAGAAGUUCAAGGACACUGGCCGAAACGGGUUUCGGCAUUCAAGGCUUUAAGGGCUUUGCUCAAGUUUUUAAGGACAUGUGAAUUGUGCGACCGCCUUUGACUAUUGUUGCGCGUUACAUCGCAUUACUGAGUGAAUUCUUCUUGUUUUCU